This 151-nucleotide ribosomal RNA is filed under the name uncultured bacterium. Its description in RNAcentral is "partial 16S ribosomal RNA". The record is from RNAcentral.
UACUCCUACGGGAGGCAGCAGUGGGGUAUUUGCGCAAUGGGCGGAAGCGCGAGCAGCCAUCCGGACUUGUGAAGAAGGCGUUGAAGAAUACAUACAUCAUAGGGGAAGGGGUAAUUGAAUGAGGCACUAUAGACGUUAUCAAGACACGGGC